This 562-nucleotide ribosomal RNA is filed under the name uncultured bacterium. RNAcentral describes it as "partial 16S ribosomal RNA". It matches the Rfam family "Bacterial small subunit ribosomal RNA", at positions 355 to 1376 of the family's 1533-position model. The record is from RNAcentral.
UGGGGAAUCUUAGACAAUGGGGGAAACCCUGAUCUAGCCAUGCCGCGUGAGCGAUGAAGGCCUUAGGGUUGUAAAGCUCUUUCAGCUGGGAAGAUAAUGACGGUACCAGCAGAAGAAGCCCCGGCUAACUCCGUGCCAGCAGCCGCGGUAAUACGGAGGGGGCUAGCGUUGUUCGGAAUUACUGGGCGUAAAGCGCACGUAGGCGGAUUAGUCAGUCAGAGGUGAAAUCCCAGGGCUCAACCCUGGAACUGCCUUUGAUACUGCUAGUCUUGAGGUCGAGAGAGGUGAGUGGAAUUCCGAGUGUAGAGGUGAAAUUCGUAGAUAUUCGGAGGAACACCAGUGGCGAAGGCGGCUCACUGGCUCGAUACUGACGCUGAGGUGCGAAAGCGUGGGGAGCAAAACAGGAUUAGAUACCCUGGUAGUCCACGCCGUAAACGAUGAAUGCCAGUCGUCGGGUUGCAUGCAAUUCGGUGACACACCUAACGGAUUAAGCAUUCCGCCUGGGGAGUACGGUCGCAAGAUUAAAACUCAAAGGAAUUGACGGGGUCAUAGCUGUUUCCUG